Long non-coding RNA from Lolium rigidum, 1162 nucleotides. RefSeq lists it as uncharacterized. The transcript has 8 exons. The record is from RefSeq and is a predicted model, not a curated record. NCBI's taxonomy places the organism in Eukaryota, Viridiplantae, Streptophyta, Magnoliopsida, Poales, Poaceae.
GCGGCCGUUGGAGCUCCACCGUCCUUCACAUCUUUGAUGCGUUGAAGCCGGCCAGCAGACUAGCAGUCUGCCCUCCUCUGCCUUUUCUUCAAAGAGAUGAGCAGGUUCUCUCUCCAUCUCUUUCUCAAAGGAACAGUGAAUCACAUCUGUGGUUGUGCAGACCGUUUCUAUCUAUGGCUUACAAAGUGCUUGAUGAAAUCCUAGCUAAUGAAAGUUGCAGCCAGUGGUGGUGUUCCUUGGCAGUGAGGCAAUGACGAGAGGAACAUACGAUGGAUUCUUCAAGAUUCAAUGCAGUUAUGGUGGAUGCUUUGAUCAAAUAAAGUUAUUCGCCUCCUCCACCUCUUCCACCCUCGCGGCCGGAGGAUGCCACACAACAUCGCAAAGCAUAUUGGCACAAACCACGCACCUUCUCGUUUUUGUUAUCUGUGUUAGACUCCGGCUGUUUCUGCUGCAUCUGAUUGGAUAGCUCAUACUUCCUUCCUUUCUACUGCCUACAGUUUAUGGACAGAUGCAGGUCUGACCUAUUCCUCCUCCGUCAUGCAUGGUGGUCAGCGUAUGAAUACCUGUGCCUAAGGUUUCGUUUAUUGACAGCCAUGUCAAGCUUGGUCCAUGAGUAAACAGGGUAUGGUGGAUAUCAGUUAAAUGAGUUCUUCUCAUUGGUGGUAUACGAAGACAUAUACAGAUGGUCAGCUACCAAUACUGGAAAGGUAGGAUGAUACAUGCAGGGCAGGGAUUUGGGACAGCCAAAUGCUGUACCAUAAGAUCAGGAGCUGCCUCACGGUAUAAGCAGGCGGCCGUGUUGCCCUUCUACAUGAGACAUCUACUCUGCUGAAGGAUGAAGAGCAUGGAGGCGGCUUGCCGCAUAAGAGGCUGGAGCGGCAAGUUUGGUGUGGCUGCUCCUUCAUGCAAAGGUCUUCAGUUCAUAAUUUAUUUUCCUUACUUUUGUCCCUUAAGGAGCAGCCACAUGCUUUGUUUCGUUUCUCCUAUAGUGUGUAAUUUAGGCUUUCUUCACACCACCUAUUCUUGAUUUUUCUAUCUUCCACCUUUUAGCAAAAGAAAGUUGAGAAUAAAUCAAUGAUUGUUUGCCUUUAAGAAUUAUUAUACCAUUUCAUCGGAUGUAAUAAACUUAAAAUAGUUAUUUGUGGAUUUAGUUUGCUGCUUA